UUAUUAUUUAUUAUUUUUUAUAUUUUUUAAAAUUUUAUAUAAUUUGAUUUGUUUUAUUAUAAUUUGUUUAAGUAUUUAUUUUGAAGGAAUUAUUAUUUAUUAUAGUUUAUUUGAGCUGUGAAGGUUUUAAUUUAAUAUUUUUAAAGUAGAAUUAUUUUGUACCUUUUGUAUCAGGGUGAAUUUAAUAUUUUUUAUUUAUAUAUUAUUCUCGAAUUAAUUUGAUCUAAUUUAUUAUGUUUGUUAAGGUUGUAUAUUUAUAUAUUAUAUUAAUUUAGUUGUGAUAUGUUAUUCGUAAAUUAAGUUAUCUAGUUUUCUAAUAAUUGAAUUUAAUUCAGUUAUUUUUAUUUAAUUAUUAUAUUAUAAUAUAAUUUAUUUAGGAAUGAUUAUAUUUUGGGGGAUUAGCUCCGAUUUAUUUUUAUAAUUUUAAUUUUAUGAUAUUAUGUAGGUUUUAUAUUAUCCUUCAUUAGUUAUUAUUUUAUAAUUUAUUAUUUAUAUUUUUAAAUUUAAUUUAAUUUAAUUAUUUAUUGGAAAUUAUUAGUUAAUUGUUGACUAUUUGUUAUAAUGGUUCAAUUAGUAUAUUAUAUUUAUUUGUUAUUUUUAAUUUAUAUUAUUAUAAGGAACUAGGCAAAAUUAUUUAUUCGCCUGUUUAUCAAAAACAUCUUCUCUUGUUAUUUAUUAGAGAUCUAACCUGCCCAAUGAUUAUAUUUUAAUGGCCGCGGUAUUUUGACCGUGCAAAGGUAGCAUAAUCAUUAGUUCAUUAAUUGUGGACUUGUAUGAAUGGUUGGACGUGAUAUUUACUGUCUCUUAAUUAUUAUUAUAAUUUAAAUUUUGAGUUAAAAUGCUUAAAUUUAUUUAUAGGACGAGAAGACCCUAUAGAUCUUUAUUUUUAUUUUUAUAAAUUUUUUUGGUUUAUUUUUUAUUUAUAUUUAUAAUUUUUUUGUUGGGGUGACAUUGAGAUAUAGUUAACUCUUUAUUUUUUAUUCAAAAAUAUUUGUAUAUAUGACCUUUUUAUAUUGUUAUUAGAUUUAGAUACCUUAGGGAUAACAGCGUAAUUUUUUUUUAGAGUUCAUAUCGACAUUUAAGAUUGCGACCUCGAUGUUGGAUUAAGGAAAUAGUUAGGUGUAGGUGCUUAAUGAUUAAGUCUGUUCGACUUUUAAAUUCUUACAUGAUCUGAGUUCAAACCGGUGUGAGCCAGGUUGGUUUCUAUCCUUAAUUUUAUAUAUUAUAUUAGUACGAAAGGACCAUAUAAUUUAAAUAUUUUAUAUUUUUGUUUAUUAUUA
This 1280-nucleotide ribosomal RNA is filed under the name Marmessoidea bispina. RNAcentral's name for it is "16S ribosomal RNA". The stretch from base 1040 to 1198 matches the Rfam family "Archaeal large subunit ribosomal RNA", at positions 2542 to 2701 of the family's 2987-position model. The record is from RNAcentral. Lineage: Eukaryota; Metazoa; Arthropoda; Insecta; Phasmatodea; Lonchodidae.